This 331-nucleotide unclassified non-coding RNA is filed under the name soil metagenome. RNAcentral's name for it is "partial contains 5.8S ribosomal RNA, internal transcribed spacer 2, and large subunit ribosomal RNA". The stretch from base 1 to 120 matches the Rfam family "5.8S ribosomal RNA", at positions 35 to 154 of the family's 154-position model. The record is from RNAcentral.
GAUGAAGAACGUAGCGAAAUGCGAUAAGUAAUGUGAAUUGCAGAAUUCAGUGAAUCAUCGAAUCUUUGAACGCACAUUGCGCCCCCUGGUAUUCCGGGGGGCAUGCCUGUUCGAGCGUCAUUUCACCACUCAAGCCUCGCUUGGUAUUGGGCAACGCGGUCCGCCGCGUGCCUCAAAUCGACCGGCUGGGUCUUCUGUCCCCUAAGCGUUGUGGAAACUAUUCGCUAAAGGGUGUUCGGGAGGCUACGCCGUAAAACAACCCCAUUUCUAAGGUUGACCUCGGAUCAGGUAGGGAUAACCGCUGAACUUAAGCAUAUCAAUAAGCGGAGGA